GACGAAGGGGGCUAGCGUUGUUCGGAAUUACUGAGCGUAAAGCGCGUGUAGGCGGUUGUCCAAGUUGGAUGUGAAAGCCUUGAGCUCAACUCAAGAAAUGCAUUCAGGACUGGAUGACUAGAGGACCGGAGAGGAUAGUGGAAUUCCCAGUGUAGUGGUGAAAUACGUAGAGAUUGGGAAGAACACCAGUGGCGAAGGCGGCUAUCUGGACGGUUUCUGACGCUAAGACGCGAAAGCGUGGGGAGCAAACAGG
RNAcentral lists this ribosomal RNA (253 nucleotides) under uncultured bacterium. RNAcentral describes it as "partial 16S ribosomal RNA". It matches the Rfam family "Bacterial small subunit ribosomal RNA", at positions 524 to 776 of the family's 1533-position model. The record is from RNAcentral.